Molecule: long non-coding RNA, 393 nt
Organism: Nematostella vectensis (starlet sea anemone)
Lineage: Eukaryota; Metazoa; Cnidaria; Anthozoa; Actiniaria; Edwardsiidae
Exons: 2
Source: RefSeq, a predicted model, not a curated record
UCAUACGGUCGUUGACAGGUGCAAAAUGCCAAACACGUAGACAGCCAAAAUGGCCCAGCAAAACCCGGACCCGAUCCUUUUCAUUCGCAGAUGUCGCGUGGAAACCGUGCUGAUUUUAUGUUCAUGGAAAAAGAACAUGAUGGAUAUGAUCACAUGAGGAGUAGGAAUUUGAAUACCACAAAAUGCGCGCAGUCGACCAAUGGAUGCGCAACAAUAUCUGUGUUUAAAGAAACCUUACAGUGUAAUGAUUGUAUUAAACAAUGGUUCAUUCUUGUAGAAAAGUAAUUGCCAAUUUUAUAUAAAAAAAACCCUUUAACUUACAUCCGGUAAGCUGAGCCAUGAUGUAGAAUAUGGUCUGCAGCAGUGUCUUCUUGCCAGUGAUCAGAAAUCCAA